This 649-nucleotide non-coding RNA is filed under the name Opisthorchis viverrini. RNAcentral describes it as "Eukaryotic large subunit ribosomal RNA". It matches the Rfam family "Eukaryotic large subunit ribosomal RNA", at positions 50 to 563 of the family's 3401-position model. The record is from Rfam by way of RNAcentral. Lineage: Eukaryota; Metazoa; Platyhelminthes; Trematoda; Opisthorchiida; Opisthorchiidae.
CCCGCCGAACUAACAAGGAUCAUAUUGGUAACGUCGAGUGAACAGAAAAAAACUCAGCAGCCAAGCCUGUGGCCAAUUGGUCACUAGGCGUUUUGGUGUUCAGGUCAUCCGGCGGAGCUGCUGCUCCAUUCCAAGUCCAGUAUUAAAUACGGUAAUGCUAGCAUGACCCAAAGACGGUGAAAGGGCCGUCGGGAUGGGAAGGGAGAAAUAAUAAACCUUUCUGUGUAGAUCUUGGGUUCGAAUUGUUUGCGAAUUCAGUCCAAAGGGGGUGAUAUACUUCAUCCAAGGUCAAAUAAUUGCACGAGUCUGAUAGCGAACAAGUACCGUGAGGGAAAUUUGAAAAGUAUUUAGAAGAGAGAGUAAACAGUGCGUGAAACCUUUCGGAGGUAAACGGGUAGAGUUCACCUGUGAGCUCUGUGGAUUUAGCUGGUGAGUUUGAGCAUGGUCAAAUUGGUAGAUGAACGGGGUCUGCAUAGCAGCAGGUCUCCACCCUUGGGUGGGAAUGCGCAAUGCAUUUACCAAGUGUUGCGUGCUCCGAGUUUAUUCGAGCCAGUUUGCCAGUCCACUUUCGCAGAGCGGUCACUAUUGUGGUCAAACCGGUCUCGCAUUGUCUCCAUGGCUUUGUCUGGUCGGGAUUGCAGGCAUCCCG